AAACUUACCUGGCUGGGGGUCUCUCGUGAUCACUAAGACGGGAACCCUACGGUGAGGCCUGUCCAUUGCACUUUCGGACAUGCUGACCUGUAUGGCAGUAACGAGUAGUUAUUGGCCAACAGCUACAUUUUUGCGUGAGGGGUUGCGUUCGCGCAACCCUGA
This 162-nucleotide small nuclear RNA is filed under the name Diabrotica virgifera virgifera (western corn rootworm). RNAcentral describes it as "U1 spliceosomal RNA". It matches the Rfam family "U1 spliceosomal RNA". From Rfam's summary of the family: U1 is a small nuclear RNA (snRNA) component of the spliceosome (involved in pre-mRNA splicing). Its 5' end forms complementary base pairs with the 5' splice junction, thus defining the 5' donor site of an intron. There are significant differences in sequence and secondary structure between metazoan and yeast U1 snRNAs, the latter being much longer (568 nucleotides as compared to 164 nucleotides in human). The record is from Rfam by way of RNAcentral. Lineage: Eukaryota; Metazoa; Arthropoda; Insecta; Coleoptera; Chrysomelidae.